Molecule: ribosomal RNA, 233 nt
Filed under: uncultured soil bacterium
Lineage: Bacteria
Description: partial 16S ribosomal RNA
Rfam family: Bacterial small subunit ribosomal RNA
Source: RNAcentral
AGAACGAACGCUGGUGGCAUGCCUAACACAUGCAAGUCGAACGAGACCUUCGGGUCUAGUGGCGCACGGGUGCGUAACACGUGGGAAUCUGCCCUUGGGUUCGGAAUAACAGUUGGAAACGACUGCUAAUACCGGAUGAUGACGUAAGUCCAAAGAUUUAUCGCCCAAGGAUGAGCCCGCGUCGGAUUAGCUAGUUGGUGGGUAAAGGCCUACCAAGGCGACGAUCCGUAGCU